GAUGAACGCUGGCGGCGUGCCUAAUACAUGCAAGUCGAGCGAACAGACGAGGAGCUUGCUCCUCUGAUGUUAGCGGCGGACGGGCGAGUAACACGUGGAUAACCUACCUAUAAGACUGGGAUAACUUCGGGAAACCGGAGCUAAUACCGGAUAACAUGUUGAACCGCAUGGUUCAACAGUGAAAGACGGUCUUGCUGUCACUUAUAGAUGGAUCCGCGCCGCAUUAGCUAGUUGGUAAGGUAACGGCUUACCAAGGCAACGAUGCGUAGCCGACCUGAGAGGCUGAUCGGCUACACUGGAACUGAGACACGGUCCAGACUCCUACGGGAGGCAGCAGUAGGGAAUCUUCCGCAAUGGGCGAAAGCCUGACGGAGCAACGCCGCGUGAGUGAAGAAGGUCUUCGGAUCGUAAGACUCUGUUAUUAGGGAAGAACAAAUGUGUAAGUAACUAUGCCCGUCUUGACGGUACCUAAUCAGAAGGCCACGGCUAACUACGUG
Molecule: ribosomal RNA, 497 nt
Filed under: uncultured bacterium
Lineage: Bacteria
Description: partial 16S ribosomal RNA
Rfam family: Bacterial small subunit ribosomal RNA
Source: RNAcentral